GCAGAGCAUCCUACGGGAGGCAGCAGUGGGGAAUAUUGCACAAUGGGCGCAAGCCUGAUGCAGCCAUGCCGCGUGUAUGAAGUAAGGCCUUCGGGUUGUAAAGUACUUUCAGCAGUGAGGAAGUGGGUAUGUUAAUAGCAUAUUCAUUUGACGUUAGCUGCAGAAGAAGCACCGGCUAACUCCGUGCCAGCAGCCGCGGUAAUACGGAGGGUGCGAGCGUUAAUCGGAAUUACUGGGCGUAAAGCGCAUGCAGGUGGUUUGUUAAGUCAGAUGUGAAAGCCCGGGGCUCAACCUCGGAAUUGCAUUUGAAACUGGCAAACUAGAGUACUGUAGAGGGGGUAGAAUUUCAGGUGUAGCGGUGAAAUGCGUAGAGAUCUGAAGGAAUACCGGUGGCGAAGGCGGCCCCCUGGACAGAUACUGACACUCAGAUGCGAAAGCGUGGGGAGCAAACAGGAUUAUAUACCCUGGCAG
This 471-nucleotide ribosomal RNA is filed under the name uncultured bacterium. RNAcentral describes it as "bacterial SSU rRNA". It matches the Rfam family "Bacterial small subunit ribosomal RNA", at positions 329 to 793 of the family's 1533-position model. The record is from RNAcentral.